GAUGAACGCUGGCGGCGUGCCUCAAACAUGCAAGUCGAGCGAGGCUAUGAAUUACCGCAAGGUAAGGCAUAGCCUAGCGGCGAACGGGUGAGUAACACGUGGGUAACCUACCUGGAAGACAGGGAUAACGAUUCGAAAGGGUCGCUAAUACCUGAUAAUAUCCAUCUGCCGGAUGGCGGAGGGAAGAAAGGGGAAACCCGCUUUCAGAUGGGCCCGCGUCCCAUCAGCUAGUUGGUAAGGUAAAGGCUUACCAAGGCGACGACGGGUAGCCGGUCUGAGAGGAUGUACGGCCACACUGGGACUGAGAUACGGCCCAGACUCCUACGGGAGGCAGCAGUUGGGAAUCUUAGGCAACUGGACGAAAGUCUGACCUAGCGACGCCGCGUGAGGGAAGAAGGCCUCGGGUUGUAACCGUACUGUCAUGGGGGAAGAAGGAAGUGACGGUACCCCGAAGACGGAAGCCCCUGCUAACUACGUGCCAGCAGCCGCGGUAAGUAGUCACGUCG
Molecule: ribosomal RNA, 506 nt
Filed under: uncultured bacterium
Lineage: Bacteria
Description: bacterial SSU rRNA
Rfam family: Bacterial small subunit ribosomal RNA
Source: RNAcentral